UUUUACCCCAAAUUUGGGUCCUUCCAUUACAGAAAUCCCAAAAUUCUGAUGGUUUGGGGCUUUUUGGGGGGAAUUUGGGAAUUUUUUGUGUUUAUCUCAAAUAUUUUGGGGUUUUUCCUUCUCCCUUCUCUUCCAGACUUUCUGAAGCCACAAUUCCAGAUUUCCCUUGGAGUUUUUUCCCAAUUUUUGGAGUUUUCUUCUCAAAAUUUCUGAUUUUUUUCCCCAGUUCAAAUUCCAAACUGGAGCUUUUUGGGCCAUUUUUUGGGGGAAUUUUUGGGAUUUCUCCCAAAUAUUUUGGGGUUCCCGCCCCUUUAUCUCUGGGAAUGAAAUUUUAUUUUCUGGGAAUGAAAUUCUCAAAUUCCCUCCGAGUUUUUCCCAUUUUUUGGGGUUUUCAGCCCAAAAUCUGGGCCCUUUCCAGUUACAAAUUGAGAAUUUUUGAACGUUUUCUUUGGGAAUUUUUGGGAUUUCUCCCCAAUUUUUGGGUUUCCCACCCUUUAUUUCAUUCCAGACUUUCUGAGGGUGAAAUCCCAAAAUUCCCCCUCAGGUUUUUCCCAUUUUUCGCCGUUUUCACCCCAAAUUCCCCCAAUAAAAAUCUGCAGCAGCUCCUUCCUUUCUGGGCUCGUUUCUUUGGGAAUUUCUUGGGAAUUUCUUGGGAAUUUCGGGAUCUUUGCCCCAAAUAUUUUGGGUUUCUGUUUUUUUCUUUUCCCGCACUAUUUUAGGAGCAGAAUCUCGAAUUUUCCACCCCUUUUUUUACCUUUUUCUUCCCGUUUUUCCCCCAAUAACAACACCGACACCUCCCUCGUUUCUGGGCUGGUUUUUUGGGGGGAUUUUCGCAGGAAUUUCACUGAAAUUUCCCCGGAAUUUGUUCCGGAAGUUUCUGUCUCAGAGCCGGAGCACGCAGGAGUUGCCGUGGGUCAGGGUUUGUUCCGGAAGGUUCCAGAAGGUUCUCUCUCUCUCACAACCGCAGCACGUAGCUGUCGCUGUGGGUCAGGUUCUGCAGUCGCUGUGGGUCAGGUUGGUUCCGGAAGGUUCUAGAAGGUUCCAGAAAGUUCUGUCACAGCCUGAGCACGUAGCUGUCACUGUGGGUGAGGUUUGUUCCGGAAGGUUCCGGAAGGUUCCAGAACGUUCUCUCUCACAGCCGCAGCACGUAGGAGUCGCUGUGGGUCAGGGUUGUU
RNAcentral lists this long non-coding RNA (1175 nucleotides) under Zonotrichia albicollis (white-throated sparrow). RNAcentral's name for it is "lncRNA (ENSZALG00000001917.1)". The record is from RNAcentral. Lineage: Eukaryota; Metazoa; Chordata; Aves; Passeriformes; Passerellidae.